GGGGCCAUAGUUAAACGGUAUAACGUUAGCUUUGCAAGCUUAAAUUCGGGGUUCGAUUCCCCGUGGCUCCACCA
RNAcentral lists this transfer RNA (74 nucleotides) under Candidatus Alectryobacillus merdavium. Its description in RNAcentral is "tRNA-Ala". It matches the Rfam family "tRNA". From Rfam's summary of the family: Transfer RNA (tRNA) molecules are approximately 80 nucleotides in length. Their secondary structure includes four short double-helical elements and three loops (D, anti-codon, and T loops). The record is from RNAcentral. Lineage: Bacteria; Bacillati; Bacillota; Bacilli.